This is a long non-coding RNA of Sorghum bicolor (sorghum), 279 nucleotides long. RefSeq lists it as uncharacterized. The transcript has 3 exons. The record is from RefSeq and is a predicted model, not a curated record. Lineage: Eukaryota; Viridiplantae; Streptophyta; Magnoliopsida; Poales; Poaceae.
AGAACAGGCUCUUGCUUUUGCCCUAGAUCGUAUCUGCCGCCGCCGGUGCCGACUAAUCUCCCCUAGAGCCAUGCCGUCCUGCUCCAUCCUGGCCACCGCAGUCGUCAUCGGAGGUGGAAGUCCAUGCUGCUGUUACCGAUUACCGCUGCCCGGCGCUGCGUUCUCUGGCUUUCACUCUCACCGACACACAUGGAUCAAGACGAGAACUGUUUGUGGGCAUUGAAGAUCAGAAGAUGAUGACAGAAAGCUGAUGAUGUGAGGAUUAAGCAAGUGUUUAAG